This 414-nucleotide ribosomal RNA is filed under the name uncultured microorganism. Its description in RNAcentral is "bacterial SSU rRNA". It matches the Rfam family "Archaeal small subunit ribosomal RNA", at positions 330 to 745 of the family's 1478-position model. The record is from RNAcentral.
GCGCAGCAGGCGAGAAUCCUUCGCAAUGCGGGAAACCGCGACGAGGGGACUCCCAGUGCCUACGCUCAGCGUAGGCUGUUCCCGAGCCUAGAAAGCUCGGGGAGUAAGGGCUGGGUAAGACGGGUGCCAGCCGCCGCGGUAAUACCCGCAGCCCGAGUGGUGGCCACUAUUAUUGGGCCUAAAGCGUCCGUAGCCGGCCCGGUAAAUGCCUGGGUAAAUCGUGAGGCCUAACCUCACGAAUUCCGGGUAGACUGCCGGGCUAGGGACCGGAGGAGGGAGAGGGGUACUCCAGGGGUAGGGGUGAAAUCCUGUAAUCCCUGGAGGACCACCGGUGGCGAAGGCGCUCUCCUAGGACGGGUCCGACGGUGAGGGACGAAAGCCAGGGGAGCGAACCGGAUUAGAUACCCGUGUAGU